This 21-nucleotide microRNA is filed under the name Picea abies (Norway spruce). Its description in RNAcentral is "pab-miR11574". The record is from miRBase by way of RNAcentral. Lineage: Eukaryota; Viridiplantae; Streptophyta; Pinopsida; Pinales; Pinaceae.
UUGUAAGAUCUUUGACCCUUA